AUGUCAUGCUCAAGUCUUAUGCUGAAAAGCUUAAGACUCACAAUCUUCCAUGCAAGUAUGCCUGUGCCAAGCCUGGUUCGUCUCCCUAGAAGUGGAGUCGCCAACUCUCCUCGUUUGUUGAGAUGUCUGCAUCGGUUGAAGGAUGAAGAUCGAAGUAUGCAACCUGUUUAUUUACUUGGCAAACGUGUUAUACCUAACGAUGUGCUAGAGGCUAAGAGUAGAAUUGGUCCAACAUCUUUGACUCCUCUCGACACGAGGAGGGUUGCACUCAGGCAGGCCAAAGGAUUGUUUGCUCAAGUGAAAGGUUCACUAAAGUUGGAGAAGAAGAAUGAUUUCUUUACUGAUCUACUUUUAAUGGAGCAAAAGCAUCUAGAAGCAUGUCACAAGAGCGUCCAGAAGGAGAAAAAUCAAAGAUUGCCAGUUUGUAGAGGAUAA
RNAcentral lists this long non-coding RNA (435 nucleotides) under Prunus dulcis (almond). RNAcentral's name for it is "sRNA ncRNA". Lineage: Eukaryota; Viridiplantae; Streptophyta; Magnoliopsida; Rosales; Rosaceae. The record is from RNAcentral.